RNAcentral lists this unclassified non-coding RNA (1412 nucleotides) under Cotesia glomerata. RNAcentral's name for it is "sPRY domain-containing SOCS box protein 3-like, transcript variant X8". Lineage: Eukaryota; Metazoa; Arthropoda; Insecta; Hymenoptera; Braconidae. The record is from RNAcentral.
CAUAAAAAUUAUGUGUUGUUGUUGUUGUUGUUGUUAUUGUUGAUCCAAAUAGGUUAGGGUAUAACAUAGGCUGAUAAGUAAACUUUCGAUUUUUCUUACUUGUAAAACUAGGGUCGUUUAUUUCGUCAAAAUGACGCUUGACGCUAAAAGUUUGACGCUGCUUUUUAUCUAGAUGGCACUCUAAUCGAAAUUAUACAGUGUGAUCAAAUUUGACGCUCGAAGCUGGCGUCAAGCGUCGUCGUGAAAUCGCACCUUUACAACUUACAAAUCAUAAAUUAUAAUUCAUAAAUGCUGAAGCUUCUACUUAUGGUUUUAGUGUACGAAUGGGCAUGGGAUGAAAGAUUAACAUCAAGAAAGUCUUUAUUAUCUCAAAACAAUUUGGAAGUGAAGUUUCACCCUGGGUAUAGUGAUGGAACAGUUGCUGUUAGGGGGGAUAAAAUACUAUCGAAAGGAAGACAUCAUUAUUGGGAAGUAGAAAUGCUGUCACAAAUAUAUGGAACAGAUGUGAUGGUUGGUGUAGGCACUGCUAAAGUUAACAUUAAUGAGAGGGAUAAAUUUUUAUCGUUGUUGGGACAAGACCGGGAAUCAUGGGGGCUGUCCUACAAAGGUAAAAUACACUAUGAUGGUGAAAUAAAGGAUUAUUCUGAACCGUUUGCGCAAGGCAGUGUCGUUGGACUUCAUCUAGAUACUUGGAAAGGAACGUUACAGUUUUUCAUAAAUAAUAAGCCUUUUGGCAUUGCUUUUACUGGUUUAUAUGGUAUUGAAUUGUAUCCUAUAAUUUCAUCCACAGCAGCCAAUAGUUGUAUGCGAAUCACACAAAGUUUAUCAGUUCCUGCAUCCUUACAAAUGGAUUGUCUAGGGUUAUUAAAGCCUUUGCACAGAUCAUAUCUAUCUACAGCCUUUCCAGGUCUUCGUUAUUUAUUGAACAGUAAAUUUGCAGAAGUUUUACGUAAGAAAAGAGCCUGAAGAUCAAUUAUAAGAUCCAUAUGGUAUUCAAGAUUGAUAUUAGUCAAUUUUCUACUGAACUGAUUGAUCAAAGUACGAUAAUUGAAUUAAAUAAGCAAGUUUUCAUUCUUUCCUUGAAGAUAUUGGAAAAAAUUGAGGAAAAAUUACUUUUAAACUACUUAGCUCACAGAGCUUAGUCAAUUUGGCUGAAUCAAAUGGAUACUGCUCCGACAAACCUCAUUUUGCACGACUCAUGAUGCGAAGCAUUUAAACGAAAUAUUAUAAAUUAACGACCUAGCGAGCGAAAAAAUCACCCGAUCGCUUUGAAAUUUAAUCACUUAUUCCUGAAAUGAAAACAAACAUUUCGAGCUUUGAUAACGAUGAUUCCGAAGAUAGUGAAUAUGAGUUCCCUGAAGAGUACUUGAUAUUGGAUGAUUUUGACUUUGCAUUAGUUGGCCGUGGUAGAA